Molecule: ribosomal RNA, 245 nt
Filed under: uncultured bacterium
Lineage: Bacteria
Description: partial 16S ribosomal RNA
Rfam family: Bacterial small subunit ribosomal RNA
Source: RNAcentral
ACCGCGAACGGGUGAGUAACACGUGGGUAACCUGCCCCGAUGACCGGGACAACCCGAGGAAACUCGGGCUAAUACCGGAUGUGGUGCCGAGGUUUAAGCCUCUGCACUAAAGGAAGCUUCGGCCUCCGCAUUGGGAGGGGCCCGCGGCCCAUUAGCUAGUUGGUGGGGUAACGGCCCACCAAGGCAACGAUGGGUAGCUGGUCUGAGAGGACGAUCAGCCACACUGGGACUGAGACACGGCCCAG